Molecule: non-coding RNA, 1317 nt
Organism: Cricetulus griseus (Chinese hamster)
Lineage: Eukaryota; Metazoa; Chordata; Mammalia; Rodentia; Cricetidae
Source: RefSeq, a predicted model, not a curated record
CAUGUGUACUGGCAAGAAAGGAAGCAUAUGGCCAGUGUCCUCCAUAAGCUUCUGGGAAGACAGAAGACACCUGGGACACUUCUCACAUAUCUUCUACAUUAGUGCUACUAUGAAGCAUCUUUUUGUUUUAUUUUCUAAAUAAUAUCCUUAAAAACAAGUUCAUGAAAUGAAGAAUUGGAAGACCAUAAUUAUGGUUUUCAAGUAGCAAAUGUAAUGAAAGCACACAUUUACUGUGCUCUGCAUUGUGCUGACAUCUGGAUACAUCCCAUCCUUAAGGGUGUAGACUAGAACUGUCUUCCAGAAACAUGAAGAAAUUCACAACUAACCAUUGAGCUGAGCUCCUGGAGUACAAUCGAAGUGAGGGAGGAGCAAAAAUAUGAACAAAGGAGUCAAGACCAUGAUGGGGUAGCCCACUGAAUCAGCUGACCCAAAUCACUGACUCAGACAAGUUUACCAAAAUGAAGCUCCUCCUUCCUUAGAUGCCUGCCAAAAGUUGUUCUUUAAAAUGUUGCUGGUGUUAGAACAGUAGCUUUUGCAGCUCUUACAAGCUUAUUGGUGAGUCUCUCCAAAUAUCCAUCAAUUUUUCCUCUUGGGAAGUUCUAGAAAUCCCCCACCAUUCAGUGUUUCAAAUACUUUGCACAAGCCUUCAUAACAUACACUGGCGUGAUGUGUCACUCUUUACACUUGCUCUGAUUCCAACUAUUUUUCUCUUGGCCUAUCUAUUUUAUAAUCCCCUCUAUCCAAGUCUCCAUAACUUCUACUGGGUGGGAAUUGUUUGCACAUAAGGAAGUUUCUCCAACAAGUUGGAUCUGCUCUUGUGAGGGAAGGUUUGCUAUGGUUUGAAUAUUUCUCCAAAUACGGUUUUAUAUGUUCCAUGGUUUGGUUUUAUAUCUCCCCGAAGAUCCAUAUGUUAAUGAUUUGAUCCUUGAAAUGAUAUCAUGGUAGUUGAUGUUCUAGUGGGAGAACCUUGAGUAAUAGAAUGAAUGUCCUGAGAAGGAAUUGUGGCAUGUACACUCCUUUGGCUCUCUUCUAUCUGUCAUGAUUAAUACUCUCAGCAGAGGCCAAACCAAUGGACCCAGCUGAUUCUGCACUGUCUGUUAAUUUUCUUCCUCCUCUUUCCCUUCUUUUGUAUCUAAGCUUUCACUGUAUUUCCCCUGAGUAUUCUGGCUCUCACUAAGCAGAGCAAGCUGCUCUUCAAUUCACAGAAAACCAACUUCCCCUCUCUUUCAAGAGCUGGGAUUACAGGGUUUGCUGCCAUCCUGACAUGCUAUUUGUCUUCUUUCAGUAUCUUUCAGCUGCCAAUUUUAUAAUGGAAAA